RNAcentral lists this transfer RNA (57 nucleotides) under Peltandra virginica (green arrow arum). RNAcentral's name for it is "partial tRNA-Leu". The record is from RNAcentral. Lineage: Eukaryota; Viridiplantae; Streptophyta; Magnoliopsida; Alismatales; Araceae.
GGAGMUUAAAAUCCGUCGACUUUAGAAAUCGUGAGGGUUCAAGUCCCUCUAUCCCCA